GCACCAGACUUGCCCUCCAAUGGGUACUCAAUAAGAGGUUUAAAAUGUUUUCAUUCCAUUGACAGACUUAAAAAGCCUGACAUUGUUAUUUAUUGUCACUACCUCCAAGUGU
This 112-nucleotide ribosomal RNA is filed under the name uncultured bacterium. RNAcentral describes it as "partial 16S ribosomal RNA". The record is from RNAcentral.